GGGGAAUAUUGCACAAUGGGCGAAAGCCUGAUGCAGCAACGCCGCGUGAGGGAUGACUGCCUUCGGGUUGUAAACCUCUUUUAGUAGGGAAGAAGCGAAAGUGACGGUACCUGCAGAAAAAGCACCGGCUAACUACGUGCCAGCAGCCGCGGUAAUACGUAGGGUGCAAGCGUUGUCCGGAAUUAUUGGGCGUAAAGAGCUCGUAGGCGGCUUGUCGCGUCUGCCGUGAAAACCUCAGGCUCAACCUGGGGCGUGCGGUGGGUACGGGCAGGCUAGAGUGCGGUAGGGGAGAUUGGAAUUCCUGGUGUAGCGGUGGAAUGCGCAGAUAUCAGGAGGAACACCGAUGGCGAAGGCAGAUCUCUGGGCCGCUACUGACGCUGAGGAGCGAAAGCAUGGGGAGCGAAC
RNAcentral lists this ribosomal RNA (405 nucleotides) under uncultured bacterium. Its description in RNAcentral is "bacterial SSU rRNA". It matches the Rfam family "Bacterial small subunit ribosomal RNA", at positions 356 to 773 of the family's 1533-position model. The record is from RNAcentral.